This 1063-nucleotide long non-coding RNA is filed under the name Homo sapiens (human). RNAcentral describes it as "HSALNT0347197". Lineage: Eukaryota; Metazoa; Chordata; Mammalia; Primates; Hominidae. The record is from RNAcentral.
AAAGAAAGAAAGAAAGAAAGAAAAAGAAAGAAAGAAAGAUGUAGCCAAGUGUGGUGGUGCACAUCUGUGUCUCAAAACAAAACAACAACAACAACAAAACCCCAAAAAACCAAUAGCCACUGCUUAGCUCUUCUAAGUCUAAGGACCUGCACUCCAGCUGGAAAUGUCACAGGGCUGGGGAGGAACAGGGCAAAGGUCCAGAGAAACAGCCCCUCACACGGAAUCUCUUACUGGGUGAGGGGGGAAACCUGUCUCCCUCAGUCAGGGGGGAGUGUGGGUGGGCCCUUUCUCACUCUCCUGCCUCCACGGACUUGUGCCACUCCCGGGGAAUUGCCCUCGACUGGCCAUGGUCUGGAACAGCCUGGGAGCUUUUGGGCAGAACAGCUCAGAUGUAACCACCUGGCUGGGGGGGCACUUCUGCCUUUAGAGGGGUCUGUGUCCCUGGCCACUGCUCAAGCAAGGAGCUCUCUCAGGCUGCUGAAGGAGAGUCUAUGUUUCCUGCUGCAAGUCAGGGCUGCACCAACCCUGACAGAUGAGUCAAGUCUUAGAACAUAUGACAUUUAUAUUGAGAAACAAGAGAGACUGAUGUUUAAACUCUGGAAUGGACAAUAACACCCUGUGAAUAACCAUGGUCUUAGAGACUCCGGCUUGGUCAUGACAUUGAGAAAAGUCCUUUGCCAGCUCUUCUGGCAGCAUUGGCUCUGCCAGAUCUGCUUGAUCAUCCACAAGUUCAGCGGGAGAGGCCAGGACCAGAUCCAUCCACAAGUUCAAGGGGAGAGGCUAGGGGCCAGGGUCACCUCAAUUUUCACCCUGGGCCCGCAGCUCCAGGCCUCAGAAGCCAGCACGUCCUUUUCUACAGCUUGAGAAACUGGAUGUGACUGUCAACACUUGGACACCCAUGAGCCACCAACUAACAGGUUAAGAAGUUUUACCUAUUUCAUUUCAUUUAUUUAUUUAUUUAUUUUUAAUUGACAAAUUAUAAUUGUAUAUGUUAAUGAAAAUGUAAUGUUAUAAUAUAUGUAUACAGUGUAGAAUGAUUAAAUCAAGCUAAUUAACAUGUCCA